Long non-coding RNA from Cyprinus carpio carpio, 1224 nucleotides. The record is from Ensembl. NCBI's taxonomy places the organism in Eukaryota, Metazoa, Chordata, Actinopteri, Cypriniformes, Cyprinidae.
GCUGGAUGUUUUUGUCAUUGUUCCCAUAGUUCGUUCAUGGUAUUUUGCCACAUAUUUGCCUGCAAAAUUUUGCUCAGCAAUAGUAAAUGUGAUCACAGCUUGAGGAGGAUGUUUUGAGUUUUGAAAAUUACAUUGUUUCAUAGACAGAGACUGUGUCAAGAACAAUUUGACUUCUCAGUACAUGACCCCAUUUCAUUCUUCUUUGGGUUGAAAGUGUUUUGUCUUUGGGGUAACAUAUAAACUAUGGAGUGAUAUUUUAUUUUUCAACCAAUAUAUAUUUUUAACCAUUGUGAUCUUUACUAAAUAACAGGAUGGUGAAUGUCUGAAUUGUAUUUGUUAACAGGAGCAAUCGAACCAGGGCAACAAGGACUCGAGUGAUCUGGAUGAGAGCAAAGGCUCAGUCUUUGUUCCUUCAGUGAAGGAGUCCACUGAUGAUGAGGACCUUCAUUCAGAAGAGUCCCAGCUUGAAAAGACCAAUCGAAAGACUGUAAAAGACACAAUACUUCAUUCAUCUAAAAAGGUCAAGAAGGCAAAGCAAAAAAGUCCAAGAAAAAUGACAAUCAAAACAAGUCAGCGAGGUCCUGAAGGCAAACGAACGUGGAACAAGAAACAGUACUGUGUCUUCUGUGAAAAGGCACAAGCCAAGAUCGCUAGACAUCUUGAAAGAAGUCAUUCCAGUGAAACAGAAGUUGCUAAAGCCUUGAGUUUUCCCAAAUGUUCAAAGAAACGAAUAAUUCUUCUUGAACAGCUUCGGAACCAGGGUAAUUAUUAUCAUAACAUAAAAGUCUUGGAAACCGGACGCGGCGAGAUCGUUACCUGGAGACAACCAACCUCAGUGAAAACAAUCAAGCUCAAGCGUCGCGUCACAGAAACAGACGCUUCGGAGAAUGAAGAUGAAGAACCCUCUACCUCAGUGAAGACUGUCAAGCGCUCUCCUCCAGACAAUCAACACAUUAUAGAGAUGUUCUCAGGAAAGAAAGCUCCAAGGAGGUCAUGGAGCAGUGAAGAGCAGAGCGCUGUGAAGAGUACACUCAGAAUAUGCUUCUCCUUCAGGAAAGUUCCUGGAAAGGCAGAAUGUCAGUCAUGUCUAGAUGCUAAUCCAGUACUGAGCUCAAGUUUAUGGCUUGAUGUUAAAAACGUUGUCCAUAGAUCCCGGGCCCUAUGCAUAGGCAGUCCUGAUGGUCCCCCAUGCCCCCCCUUAUUCAACCACUAAGUGUUGGGACA